Molecule: ribosomal RNA, 252 nt
Filed under: uncultured bacterium
Lineage: Bacteria
Description: partial 16S ribosomal RNA
Rfam family: Bacterial small subunit ribosomal RNA
Source: RNAcentral
UACGGAGGGUGCAAGCGUUAUCCGGAUUCACUGGGUUUAAAGGGUGCGUAGGAGGGCAGGUAAGUCAGUGGUGAAAUCCCCGAGCUUAACUUGGGAACUGCCGUUGAUACUAUCUGUCUUGAAUGCUGUGGAGGUGAGCGGAAUAUGUCAUGUAGCGGUGAAAUGCUUAGAUAUGACAUAGAACACAAUUGCGAAGGCAGCUCGCUACACAGUUAUUGACUCUGAGGCACGAAAGCGUGGGGAUCAAACAGG